GUGUUCACUUUGGCAGCACAUAUACUAAAAUUGUAAUGAUACAGAGAUUAGCAUGGUCCCUGCACAAGGAUGACACAGAAAUUAGUGAAGCAUUCCCUAUUUUU
Molecule: small nuclear RNA, 104 nt
Filed under: Prolemur simus (greater bamboo lemur)
Lineage: Eukaryota; Metazoa; Chordata; Mammalia; Primates; Lemuridae
Source: RNAcentral